Molecule: ribosomal RNA, 253 nt
Filed under: uncultured bacterium
Lineage: Bacteria
Description: partial 16S ribosomal RNA
Rfam family: Bacterial small subunit ribosomal RNA
Source: RNAcentral
UACGUAGGGUGCGAGCGUUAAUCGGAAUUACUGGGCGUAAAGCGCACGUAGGCGGCUUUGUAAGUUAGAGGUGAAAGCCUGGAGCUCAACUCCAGAAUUGCCUUUAAGACUGCAUCGCUUGAAUCCAGGAGAGGUGAGUGGAAUUCCGAGUGUAGAGGUGAAAUUCGUAGAUAUUCGGAAGAACACCAGUGGCGAAGGCGGCUCACUGGACUGGUACUGACGCUGAGGUGCGAAAGCGUGGGGAGCAAACAGG